CUCCCGCCAAAGAAAGGGCAGAAAAGAGGUGGCGCAGCCCCGCCUCUCGUGGCGCUGUUGCCUAGCAACGCGACUCCUUGGUGACGGCGGCGACAACAGCGUGAGGGCCGCGGUCGGCCCGGCGGCAGUCUGAGGCAAGGGGUGGGAGGCGGGAGCAGGCGGAGGAUGGCUGCCCAGGAGAGUGUGUAUAACCUCCUGCCCCGGCUGGAGGAGAAGCCCGUCAAACCGCCCAGGUAUAUAUCGACAUUUAGGCCAUCUGUGAAACUUGAAAUAGAGCGAAGUAAAGCGCAGUGGAAAACUAUGGGGCCAGCAAAAGUUGCGGUGCCAUCUCCAAAAAACUUUCUGAAGAAACACUCCAAGGAACCCACAUUACCAGCAAG
This is a non-coding RNA of Meleagris gallopavo (turkey), 380 nucleotides long. The record is from RefSeq and is a predicted model, not a curated record. NCBI's taxonomy places the organism in Eukaryota, Metazoa, Chordata, Aves, Galliformes, Phasianidae.